UACGUAGGGUCCGAGCGUUGUCCGGAAUUACUGGGCGUAAAGAGCUCGUAGGUGGUUUGUCGCGUUGUUCGUGAAAACUCACAGCUCAACUGUGGGCGUGCGGGCGAUACGGGCAGACUGGAGUACUGCAGGGGAGACUGGAAUUCCUGGUGUAGCGGUGAAAUGCGCAGAUAUCAGGAGGAACACCGGUGGCGAAGGCGGGUCUCUGGGCAACAACUGACGCUGAGGAGCGAAAGCGUGGGGAGCGAACAGG
This 253-nucleotide ribosomal RNA is filed under the name uncultured bacterium. RNAcentral describes it as "partial 16S ribosomal RNA". It matches the Rfam family "Bacterial small subunit ribosomal RNA", at positions 524 to 776 of the family's 1533-position model. The record is from RNAcentral.